This 1650-nucleotide ribosomal RNA is filed under the name Legionella pneumophila. RNAcentral's name for it is "partial 23S ribosomal RNA". It matches the Rfam family "Bacterial large subunit ribosomal RNA", at positions 1273 to 2915 of the family's 2925-position model. Lineage: Bacteria; Pseudomonadati; Pseudomonadota; Gammaproteobacteria; Legionellales; Legionellaceae. The record is from RNAcentral.
CUGGAGGUAUCAGAAGUGCGAAUGCUGACAUGAGUAACGAUAAUGUGGGUGAAAAGCCCACACGCCGGAAGUCCCAGGUUUCCUGCACGACGUUAAUCGGAGCAGGGUGAGUCGGCCCCUAAGGCGAGGCUGAAGAGCGUAGUCGAUGGGAACCAGGUUAAUAUUCCUGGACUUUUUAUAAGUGGUGAAGUGGGGACGAAGAAGGCUAGGUGAGCCAGGCGUUGGUUGUCCUGGUACUUGCAUGUAGGGGGGAAGACUUGGCAAAUCCGGUUUUCCAUAACUCUGAGGUGCGAAGUGGUUCUGACCUUUUGGUACAGAGAAGUCAUUGAUGCCCGGCUUCCAGGAAAAGCUGCUAGCCAUAACUUAUAGAGAACCGUACCGCAAACCGACACAGGUGGACAGGUAGAGAAUACUAAGGCGCUUGAGAGAACUCGGGUGAAGGAACUAGGCAAAAUGGUACCGUAACUUCGGGAGAAGGUACGCCCUUUCUGGUGAUGGGAUUUACUUUCAGAGCUGGAGAGGGCCGCAGAGACCAGGUGGCUGCGACUGUUUAUUAAAAACACAGCACUCUGCAAAUUCGUAAGAAGACGUAUAGGGUGUGACGCCUGCCCGGUGCCGGAAGGUUAAUUGAUGGGGUUAUCUUCGGAGAAGCUCUUGAUCGAAGCCCCGGUAAACGGCGGCCGUAACUAUAACGGUCCUAAGGUAGCGAAAUUCCUUGUCGGGUAAGUUCCGACCUGCACGAAUGGCGUAACGAUGGCCACACUGUCUCCACCCGAGACUCAGUGAAAUUGAAAUCGCUGUGAAGAUGCAGUGUACCCGCGGCUAGACGGAAAGACCCCGUGAACCUUUACUAUAGUUUUGCACUGGACUUUGAUGAUGACUGUGUAGGAUAGGUGGGAGGCUGUGAAGUGAGGACGCUAGUUCUCAUGGAGCCGCCCUUGAAAUACCACCCUGUUGUUAUUGAGGUUCUAACUUGGUCCAGUAAUCCUGGAUGAGGACAGUGUAUGAUGGGUAGUUUGACUGGGGCGGUCUCCUCCCAAAGAGUAACGGAGGAGCACAAAGGUACCCUCGGUACGGUCGGACAUCGUACCAAGAGUGUAAAGGCAAAAGGGUGCUUGACUGCGAGAGUGACGGCUCGAGCAGGAACGAAAGUUGGUCUUAGUGAUCCGGUGGUUCUGAAUGGAAGGGCCAUCGCUCAACGGAUAAAAGGUACUCCGGGGAUAACAGGCUGAUACCGCCCAAGAGUUCAUAUCGACGGCGGUGUUUGGCACCUCGAUGUCGGCUCAUCACAUCCUGGGGCUGAAGCAGGUCCCAAGGGUAUGGCUGUUCGCCAUUUAAAGUGGUACGCGAGCUGGGUUUAGAACGUCGUGAGACAGUUCGGUCCCUAUCUGCCGUGGGCGUAGGAAAAUUGAGAGGAGCUGCUCCUAGUACGAGAGGACCGGAGUGGACGAACCUCUGGUGCACCGGUUGUCACGCCAGUGGCAUGGCCGGGUAGCUAAGUUCGGACGGGAUAACCGCUGAAAGCAUCUAAGCGGGAAGCCUCCCUCAAGAUGAGUUUUCCCAUGAAGCCCGUUGAAGACUACGACGUUGAUAGGCAAGGUGUGGAAGCGCAGUAAUGCGUGAAGCUAACUUGUACUAAUUGGCUGAUUG